Molecule: unclassified non-coding RNA, 218 nt
Filed under: Hevea brasiliensis (rubber tree)
Lineage: Eukaryota; Viridiplantae; Streptophyta; Magnoliopsida; Malpighiales; Euphorbiaceae
Source: RNAcentral
AUAUCGUGCAAUAAUAUAAUAUAAAAUUAUGCUUCAUGAAAUACACAAGAAAAUUUAUCAAUUGUAACAGAAGAUUCACACCUUAACAUUGUUGUUCCCUAUAGCCUUCUAGAGCAAUGGACAACUAAUACUAUUCUAUUGACUGAAUUUUUCACUAACCACCAAGGUUACCUAAAUCCACUAAGGAAUUCUAUCAAAAUGUAAUUAGUCAUGUCAGA